CCUACGAGUGGCAGCAGUGGGGGAUAUUGCACAAUGGGGGAAACCCUGAUGCAGCGACGCCGCGUGAGGGAAGACGGUUUUCGGAUUGUAAACCUCUGUCCUCUGUGAAGAUGAUGACGGGGGCAGAGGCGGAUGCUCCGGCUAACUACGUGCCAGCAGCCGCGGUAAUACGUAGGGAGCGAGCGUUUUCCGGAUUUACUGGGUGUAAAGGGUGCGUAGGCGGCUUGGCAAGUCAGUAGUGAAAUCCAUGGGCUUAACCCAUGAACUGCUAUUGAAACUGUCGAGCUUGAGUGAAGUAGAGGUAGGCGGAAUUCCCGGUGUAGCGGUGAAAUGCGUAGAGAUCGGGAGGAACACCAGUGGCGAAGGCGGCCUACUGGGCUUUAACUGACGCUGAGGCACGAAAGCGUGGGUAGCAAACAGGAUUAGAUACCCUUGUAGUC
This 440-nucleotide ribosomal RNA is filed under the name uncultured bacterium. RNAcentral describes it as "partial 16S ribosomal RNA". It matches the Rfam family "Bacterial small subunit ribosomal RNA", at positions 338 to 795 of the family's 1533-position model. The record is from RNAcentral.